RNAcentral lists this ribosomal RNA (276 nucleotides) under uncultured bacterium. Its description in RNAcentral is "partial 16S ribosomal RNA". It matches the Rfam family "Bacterial small subunit ribosomal RNA", at positions 333 to 601 of the family's 1533-position model. The record is from RNAcentral.
AUUGUCCUACGGGACGCAGCAGUAGGGAAUCUUCCACAAUGGGCGAAAGCCUGAUGGAGCAACGCCGCGUGGGUGAAGAAGGUCUUCGGAUCGUAAAACCCUGGUGUUAGAGAAGAAAGUGCGUGAGAGUAACUGUUCACGUUUCGACGGUAUCUAACCAGAAAGCCACGGCUAACUACGUGCCAGCAGCCGCGGAAAUACGUAGGUGGCAAGCGUUAUCCGGAGUUAUUGGGCGUAAAGGGAACGCAGGCGGUCUUUUAAGACUGAUGUGAAAGC